RNAcentral lists this small nuclear RNA (107 nucleotides) under Schistocephalus solidus. The record is from RNAcentral. Lineage: Eukaryota; Metazoa; Platyhelminthes; Cestoda; Diphyllobothriidea; Diphyllobothriidae.
UUACUCGCUUUUUUGGUACAUAUGUUUAAAUUGGAACGAUACAGAUAAUAUAAGCAUGGCCCCUGCGAAAAUAUGACACGCAAAAUUGUAACGUUUUCCAAAUUGUU